Camellia sinensis is the source of this 5337-nucleotide non-coding RNA. The record is from RefSeq and is a predicted model, not a curated record. NCBI's taxonomy places the organism in Eukaryota, Viridiplantae, Streptophyta, Magnoliopsida, Ericales, Theaceae.
ACUAAAAUAUUUAAAAUGCCCCAGACAGGCAAAUUGGCCCUCUCCCCUAGAACUCUCGCUCUCACUCUCACUCGCAGUCCCUCUAGUUUCUCUCUCUAGAAACCCUAGUGCUUCUGGAUCCCAACCCUAGUGCUUUUGACCUAUUGUGCGCCGGCGAUAGGCCUUCGGAUCGCCGUCGAUCUCAGCAACGAGAUCGCUGUCAAAGUGACGAAAUCUCUCUCUCUCUCUCUCUCUCUCUCUUCAUCCCCAGCGUCGCCGCUUCUCAAAGAUUUUUCAACCUCUCCGUAGUCGCCGUCGCCAUCGCCAUACUCAUUGUCGAACCGCCGGCAUCCCAGAUGUGUCAAUUUCGGUGGUCUAUCUGAGGAGGAGCUGAGGUCUGAUCCAGCAUCUCAAAGAUCUAGCAUUUCGGUCGCCGGCGUCACCUCUCAGUACAAACUGGUUUGGCAGUAGCUGUAGCAGAUACUCAGUGAACCCUCAAAUGGCCUCUGAAAGCAAAUCCAAGUCCAGCAACAAUACCAAUACCAAUAAGAACACCACAAAGAGGAAGCAAAGAUAUUUCCCUUUCAACACAAGUGUAGUGCCGGGAUUCUUCAUCACCUGUGAUGGUGGGAGGGAACGCCAAGCCUUUCAUGAAUCCAUUAUUGUUAUCAACUCUGACGAAUAGGGACAGCGCUGGAUUUUCAAAACAGAGGUUAUUUCAUGGCCUAAACAAGGGAAGAUGUGGUAUGCAGAUGGCAGGAUACAGGCACCCAACUCAGCUGGCCCAAGGUUAUGACCAAUGUGAGAUUAUCAACUCUCUGAUUAUGGGUUGCCUUAUUCAUUUGAUGGUACCAGACAUUGGCGAAGGCUACUUAUCUAUGGAGACUGCCCAAGAUGUUUGGGAUGCUGUGGCUACCACCUAUUCUCUCGCAAAGGGAAUGAGUUACGCCACUCGAUUGACAGCUUUGUUCAGGGGGAGUAGACGGUUCUUCAGUACUUCACCUUCCUCACCAAUGAUUGGAAACACCUUGAUCACCUGCAGGACUAUAAGCUUGUUUGCACUGCUGAUUCAGUCGGGUAUCGGAAGUUCAUUGCACAGAAAAGGGUCUUCAAGUUUCUAGCCGAUCUUAAUGUGGAGUGUGAUCCGCUUCGGAGUCUGGUUUUGAGUAUAGACAACUUUCCUUCACUUCAAGAGGCAUUUGCCUAUGUACAGAAUGAGGAGAGUCGCCAAUCUGCUGUGAUGUCCCCUAUCUCUACCGAUCGCUCAGCAUUACUGUCUACCUCUAGAGAUGGCUUCAGCCUGACUCCCAUUCCUCUGUUUGUCACCAAAGAGUUUGUUUUCUGUGAUUACUGUAAGAAGCCGUGGCAUACUCAUGAGAUGUGUUAGAAGCUUCAUGGGACUCCGUCUGGGGGUCGAGGUGAUCGGUCUGGUUCUAGAGGAGGUCGGUCAGGCCAGUCUAGAGGACGUGGCUCUUAUCCAUGGGCUCAUCAGUCUGGUGAUGUUGAUACACUUGAUUCUACUUCUGCUUCCGUUGGCCAGGCUUCUGAUGGUCUCUCUGGCAUGACUACUCAUGAUCUUGACGAUGUUUUGCGUCACUUGGUGGACCGCCGGUCUUCUACUGCUCUCAGCACAUCUUACGCGUCGUUUGCCUGCUCAGGACCUUGUCACGAGGAGAACGAUUGGCAGUGGUAGUGCAGAAAAUGGUCUCUACUUCCUGGAUCAACCGGACAAGCUUGCUCAUUCUUCUACACAAGUCCAACUACCACCGAUAAUAUAUGGCUGUGGCAUCAUCGUCUUGGGCAUCCUUAUUUUUAUUUACUUGAGCACUUAUUUCCAUCUAUUUUAAAAAAUAAUAAUGUGUCUAAAUUUCUUUGUGAGUCUUGUCAACUUGGAAAACAACACUGAAGCAUUUAUUUUUUUAAAGAGCAGAGGGAAGUUGUGGUAUGUAGAUGGCAGGAUAUAGGCACUCAACUCAAGUGGCCCAGGUUAUAACCAAUGAGAGAUUAUCAACUCUUUGAUUAUGGGUUGGCUUAUUCAUUCGAUGAUACCAGACAUUGGCAAGGGCUACUUAUCUAUGGGGCCACUGUCAAAAUAUUAUGUUCUGAUAAUGGGGGUGAAUACAUAGAUUCUGGGUUAGGGUAAUAUUUUUCUACUCAUGGCAUUAUCCAUCAGACCUCUCGCACCAAUACCCCUCAACAAAAUGAGUGGCGGAACGCAGGAAUCGCCAUCUUCUUGACAUGGUUCGGUGCAUGUGUUUUUCUAUGAAUAUGCCUCGAUUUUACUGGGGCGACGUUCUCACUGUUUAUUAAUCGUCUUUCUCACCGUUGACAUCCUUUUCAAGUCCUCCUAGGUUCCCAGUCCUUGUUUUUUAUUCCUCCCAAAAUAUUUGGUUGUGUUUGUUUUGUCUAUAAGCACUCUCCUACUCGUGUUGGACCCUCGUUCCCUCAAAUGUGUUUUCCUUGGGUACUCUCCUACUCAAAAAGAAAAUAUGUGUUAACACCUUCCUUCUCGUAAGUGGUUUGUGUCCAUGGAUGUCACAUUCUUUGAGUCCCAGUCAUCCCUUCAGGGGGUCCCUUGGUGUGUAGUGAUUUCUGUGAUUCCUAUGGUGGAAUCAAUUGUUCUUGCACUACCACCUCCUAUUGGGACUACAGAACCCAAUGUCACCAAGGGUAGGGACGAGCAAGUUUAUGUUUGGGACAAAGACAAACAAAAAGUUAACUGGAUACAAGAGACCACUUCUGCUCUUCCACUGCCAUCUCCUGCUUAUAAUGACAAUCCAAGUUAGAUUGGCCGCUUCGUCAAUUUGAUGUAAAGAAUGCUUUUCUCCAUGAUGACCUUGAAGAAGAGGUAUAUAUGGACAUUCCUCCUGGUUUUGAGGAUCAUUAGACAGAAGGCAAGGUAUGUAGGCUUCAGAAGUCAUUAUAUGGUCUCAAACAAUGUCCAAGGGCUUGGUUUGAGAGAUUCACUCAGGCUAUGGCUUCAAACAGAGUCAGGUAGAUCACACGUUGUUUGCGAAACAUCCUCACUUGGUAAGACUACAACACUCAUUGUUUAUGUAGAUGUCAUAGUUCUUACGGGCGAUGAUGGUGGGAAAAUUCCUCUGUUAAUGAAAUAUUUAGCCAGUGAGUUUGAAAUUAAAGAUUUGGAGAGCUUGUAGUAUUUUCUGGGAAUUGAAGUUGCUCGUUCUAAGGAUGGGAUGUUUAUCUCACAGAAGAAGUAUGUGCUUGAUCUGUUGAAGGAAACUAGAAUGCUUGGUUGCAAGGCCUGUGACACUCUACUAGAACCCAAUCAGAAACUAGGGGAUGAUGAAGGAGGAGCAGCUGUUGACAGGGAGAGCUAUCAGUGAUUAGUGGGUAAACUCAUUUACCUAUCUCACUCCCGUCUUGAUAUUGUUGUUGCUGUCAGUGUGGUUAGCCAGUUUAUGCAUGCUCCUCAUCAGAUUUACUUAGAGGUUGUCAUGAGAAUUUUGAGGUACUUGAAGUCUGCUCCUGGUAAGGGUCUUUAUUUUUCAAAGUAUGAUCAUCUUCGUGUGGAAGCCUAUACAGAUACUGACUGGACUGGAUCAGUGACUGAUAGAAGAUCGACUUUAGGGUAUUGCACCUUUGUUGGAGGCAACCUAGUUACUUGAAGGAGUAAGAAACAGAAUGUGGUUGCUAGGUCAAGUGCAGAAGCUGAGUUUAGAGCUAUGGCACAAGAAGUGUGUGAGCUCUUAUGGAUCAAGUUAUUGUUGAGUGAUCUAGGUAUUGGUCAGAUGGACUCCAUGCGGUUAUACUGUGAUAAUAAGGCUGCUAUCAAUAUCGCUCACAAUCCGAUUUAACAUGACAGAACAAAGCAUGUUGAGAUUGAAUGCCACUUCAUUAAGGAGAAGCUCACUAGUGGCACAAUAUGUACUCCGUUUGUGCAGUCUGGUGAACAACUUGCUGACAUCCUCACUAAGGGAGUUGGGAGUAAGCCAUUUCAUGACAUCUUAGGCAAGCUAGGCAAUUUCUAGGCCAUCCACUUUGUUUGAGAUGAUUAGAGAUUAUGAACAAGCAACAAUGGAUCUUCAAAGACUAGUGUCUCUUCUCAUGAAGCAAGUGGAGGAUAAGGCCAAUCAGUCUGGUGCAUCUGAUAGAAUGAGCAGUGUGAAUGAGUUAAGACAAGCUGAACAAUGGUUUCUAUAAUGGAAGAAGCGAGAAAGGAAAUUCACUUGAAUAUGUACCUCAUUUUAUUGCCUUGAGAACGAUUGUCUUCUUCUUCUAGGAUGGAGGUCACCUGCAGUGAUUGUGUCCUAUGCUUGCCCAGUAGGACCAACACUAACCAUCCUAGCUCUCUGAAUUUCUUGGGUCUCGUAACCUGUGUCAUGAUACUGCUAGAUAUUUUGGCGACUUUUCUGUAUGUAUACAAUUAGAGUCACGGUAUGAUCUAGAAGAGGAGAUGUGUAAUGCUCAAAGAGAGGCAGUGGAGGCAGCUCAUCAAAAAUGCAUACAGAUGCCCAGAAUUAUCCAUUUGAGAAAAGCAGCAGCAAUAGGCAGCAAUGGUGAGAGGUCUGGAGAUCACAUGGACAUUCCCAACCCAACCUAGAGGCUCAGAAACAACUCGACGGAGCAGAUUCUCAUGAUAACUGUUGGCUAGGUCUCCCAGAAAAAUCUUGGCGAUUUCAGAUCAUAACCAUCUGAUUGAUGCCUAGUUGGAUGAUUAUUUUGGCCAAUAAGCUACAUUUCAUGUUUAGCUUCUGUGAGAGGUUCAGCUUAUGGACAAGGACUUCAUGCCGCUCUUCAAGAAUAGAUCGUGUGCACAUAGAUGGAGGUUUGAGAGUGAGGAUUCUAGUGACUGAAAAAACAUCAUUUUUGAAACGUUUAAAAAAAAAUGAAAAAAGAAAGAAAAAAAGAAGAGAGGUCAAUGUAAAAUAGAUUCACAUGAGAGAGGGAGAGGAGGAGCUCUGCGUAUGGAUUGGCAAUGUGUACAGAGAAACAAUGAAUGUGUGGAUGCAACUGACAAGAGUAUGUUAUAUGUACCAGCAAUGUGUACAUGAAUUCAUCGCAUUGAGAAAGAUUGGUGGCCUUGACUGUUUGACUAAUUUCAGUUGGGACGUUCCUAAUGACAAAAGAAUGCAUUUUUCCCAGAGAGGCCUGCCUGGAAGCACUUUGUCCAAACAGAACUUGUGUUUUGUCUCUUUUUCUUGGCAUAAUUUCUUUUUCUUUUUUUUUCCUCUUUUCUUCUUUGGUUUCUCGGAGAGUAUGAAAUGUUGUUAGUAUAAGGUCACUGUUUGUGUUGUUUGUCUGGAAGUCUAGAAAAUUAACAAAGACAAGAUGACAAAAUUUGUAUUACAUUGUGUUGUCCAACAAUUUGUGGGUUGAAGCAUUUGGUUGUGUUUC